RNAcentral lists this ribosomal RNA (221 nucleotides) under Percolomonas cosmopolitus. RNAcentral describes it as "partial Bacterial small subunit ribosomal RNA". It matches the Rfam family "Bacterial small subunit ribosomal RNA", at positions 46 to 270 of the family's 1533-position model. The record is from RNAcentral. Lineage: Eukaryota; Heterolobosea; Eutetramitea; Percolomonadida; Percolomonadidae.
GCCUAACACAUGCAAGUCGAACGCGAAAAUUCCUUCGGGAAUGAGUAGAGUGGCGGACGGGUGAGUAACGCGUGGGAAUCUACCUGGUAGCGGGGGAUAACUCGGGGAAACUCGAGCUAAUACCGCAUACGCCCUACGGGGGAAAGGAGGGGAUCUUCGGACCUUUCACUAUCAGAUGAGCCCGCGUUAGAUUAGCUUGUUGGUGAGGUAAUGGCUCACCA